This 941-nucleotide ribosomal RNA is filed under the name uncultured archaeon. Its description in RNAcentral is "bacterial SSU rRNA". It matches the Rfam family "Archaeal small subunit ribosomal RNA", at positions 7 to 922 of the family's 1478-position model. The record is from RNAcentral.
GUUGAUCCUGCCGGACCCUACUGCUAUCGGGGUGGGACUAAGACAUGCGAGUUGUACGUUUUUAAGCCAUGGUAGAGACGUGGCGUACGGCUCAGUAACAUGUGGCUAACCUACCCUUAGGACGGAGACAACCCCGGGAAACUGGGGCUAAUACCCGGUAGAUUAGGAGGCCUGGAAUGGUUCCUAGUCGAAAAAGGCGUUGAAACCAUGCUUUUCAACGUCGCCUAAGGAUGGGGCCGCGCCCGAUCAGGUUGUUGGUGAGGUAACGGCUCACCAAGCCUAUAACCGGUACGGGCCGUGAGAGCGGGAGCCCGGAGAUGGGCACUGAGACAAGGGCCCAGGCCCUACGGGGCGCAGCAGUCGCGAAAACUCCGCAAUGCGCGAAAGCGUGACGGGGCUACCCCGAGUGCCGUCCGCUGAGGAUGGCUUUUCCCCGGUGUAAUGAGCCGGGGGGAUAAGGAGAGGGCAAGACUGGUGUCAGCCGCCGCGGUAAUACCAGCUCUCCGAGAGGUAGGGACGAUUAUUGGGCUUAAAGCGUCCGUAGCCGGCUUAGCAAGUCUCCUGUUAAAUUCAGCGACUCAAUCGUUGAGCCGCGGGGGAUACUACUAGGCUAGGAGGCGGGAGAGGUCGACGGUAUUCUCGGGGGAGGGGUGAAAUCCUAUAAUCCUGGGAGGACCACCAGUAGCGAAGGCUGUCGGCUAGAACGCGCUCGACGGUGAGGGACGAAAGCUGGGGGAGCGAACCGGAUUAGAUACCCGGGUAGUCCCAGCUGUAAACGAUGCGGGCUAGGUGUUGGGGUGGCUACGAGCCACUUCAGUGCCGCGGGGAAGCCAUUAAGCCCGCCGCCUGGGGAGUACGGCCGCAAGGCUGAAACUUAAAGGAAUUGGCGGGGGAGCACCACAAGGCGUGAAGCUUGCGGUUUAAUUGGAUUCAACGCCGGG